GUAUCCGGGUCGCUACUUUCCCUAUUGUCUGAGGCAGCCGGCCUCGCGCUGUGCAAUUUCUGGUCUUUUGUUGCUUCUGGUCCAGGCUAAUAAAGUUUUUCUUUCUUUAAUUUUUUUUCUUCUAGUUUUAACGGGAGAAAUUAACUCCCCAGGGCCGCCGAGUUGACUGCGCUGCCUGGGCCGGAGGUCUUCUCCGGCCAGGGAGCGCUGUGGGAAAGGGCUCGAGCGGCCAGGGCCAGGCGAGGCCGGGGGGGCGGGGGGUUAGGGGACCGCGGGGCUACUCUUGGGAGCGCCCCUGUCCGGCUGGCUGCGCGCCGGUUUUAAAUAGCAUCUUUCGGACUUGUCUUCGCGGCCCCAGUCCCCGACCUCGGCGCUGCUUGGGCUCCUGCAGCCUCUCCCUAAGUGUCCUCCAAACGACCACCUCACGGAUUCCUUAUGGAUCGCAGCUCCAAGAGGAGGCAGGUGAAGCCUUUGGCAGCUUCUCUGCUGGAAGCUCUUGAUUAUGAUAGUUCAGAUGACAGUGAUUUUAAAGUUGGAGAUGCCUCAGGACUCGCUGAUUCUUGAGAAGAGUCAAAACUGGAGCUCUCAAAAAAUGGACCAUAUUCUGAUUUGCUGUGUUUGUCUGGGAGAUAAUAGUGAGGAUGCUGAUGAAAUAAUUCAGUGUGACAAUUGUGGCAUUACAGUCCAUGAAGGUUGUUAUGGAGUCGAUGGAGAGAGUGACUCUAUUAUGAGUUCAGCUUCUGAAAACUCCACCGAACCUUGGUUUUGUGAUGCCUGUAAAUGUGGUGUUUCUCCUAGCUGUGAACUGUGUCCUAAUCAGGAUGGAAUUUUCAAGGAGACAGAUGCUGGAAGAUGGGUUCAUAUUGUUUGUGCCCUGUAUGUUCCUGGAGUAGCCUUUGGAGAUAUUGACAAAUUACGACCAGUAACACUAACGGAAAUGAACUAUUCCAAAUAUGGUGCCAAGGAGUGUAGCUUUUGUGAAGACCCUCGCUUUGCUAGAACUGGGGUUUGCAUUAGCUGUGAUGCAGGGAUGUGCAGAGCCUA
This 1044-nucleotide small RNA is filed under the name Pongo abelii (Sumatran orangutan). RNAcentral's name for it is "processed transcript". Lineage: Eukaryota; Metazoa; Chordata; Mammalia; Primates; Hominidae. The record is from RNAcentral.